Lepidothrix coronata (blue-crowned manakin) is the source of this 3675-nucleotide RNA transcript. It is a transcript of the gene named MOK protein kinase, with no coding region annotated. The transcript has 10 exons. NCBI's taxonomy places the organism in Eukaryota, Metazoa, Chordata, Aves, Passeriformes, Pipridae. The record is from RefSeq and is a predicted model, not a curated record.
UUAGUUAGUUUAUGAUGCAGCAGGAUGGACAGUGAUCAGAAAACCAAAGCAGCAGAUGAUAAAAAUGAGAAGAGCAACCAACAAUUUCACAGAAGUGCUGCUACUGUACUGGAGAAAGAGGGAAGGUUUACAAAGGGAAAGUUUCUACUAAAUUAAAAUAUAAGCAUUUGGCUCAUAAGGAAACGAAACACCUUUUCGUUGUUUCGUUGCAGGGUUUUUUUUUUAACAGGGAGUAAGUGUGAAAGCUGAAGAGAAAAGAGAUGAAGACAACACAAAUUGAUUGUUAGUUGGAAGACAGUGUUAGAAUGCCCUUGCCUAAGUAACUUUUCCCUCUGAAAAGUUUCUUGGCAGGCUUUCUCUACUGCGAGGCUGUGUUUAUACUUGUAAAUUAAACAUAUCAGGAAAUCUUGGACACAAAGAGCAACUGGCACGAAAUGGCCCCCAUCUCUACUAGCAAAUUCUCUUAUCUUCCAAAACAGAGCAGUGGGACAGAAACUGCUCGAGAACUGACCUUAGAAGGAGUCCUCACACCAGGCAAGGAAGGUGCCUCACAGAGUGCUGGUUCUCACAGGACAAAUCCCUGCCAGGGACUGUUGUCACAGAUACCAGUUGGUAAGAUAGGAGAGGGAGCAUUUUCUGAUGUCCUGCAGACACUGAGUCUUAGGAGUGGAAAGUACUAUGCAUGUAAACACAUGAAGCAACAUUUUGAAAGGAAGGAGAAAGCCAUUGCCUGAAAAAAAAUUAAGAACAACGUGUACCAGUUAUGCAAAUCUCGAAUGCACACAUAGAAACAGGAUAUUUCAGAGAGAUGUGAAAUCAGAAAAAAUAAUAAAGGUCUUUCUUUUAAUGAUGUACAGAAUGGUACAUGCACAUACUAUGGGACAGAGAUUACCUUCAAGCCUGGAGCUACUUGCUAUUUAAAUGCAGAAUACCUUGAAGUUGGGAGAUUUUGGAUCCUGUAGGGUAUCUGUUCUCAGCAGGCACAUAUGGGCUGUGCCUCCCCACGCUGGUACCAAACACCUGAAUGUUUCCUUGCAAAUGGCCACUAAAGUUACAAAAUGGGUAUGUGCAGUGCUGGCUGUGUUUUCUGUGAAAUCACAAGGUACAGUGUUCAGUGGAAGGCUUUUCUUAUUGUUAUUCAAGGUAAUCAAAAGUAAAUAAAUUAAGGGCACGUGGUAACAUGAUCUUCGUUUCCAUGGAUUUGUGGAAGCUUCUUCUGUGCUUAAUCUGCAGGGUUCAUGAGGCAGUAAUCCGGUCUGGCCUGGCACUCUCUUCACCCUAUGGCAGUUUUCUUGGACCUGAUGAGCUGGACCAAAUUUCAAAAAUCCACAUUAUAGGCACUCUUGCUAAAACAACUCUCAAGAAGUUCAAGCAAACCUGGUGGAGGAGGAGGUUGGUUAAAAAUAACAUGAAAAGGAUUCUUUGAGCUCAAGUAUUAGGAAUGGAAUGUUAUCUACAGAAUAAUCUCAAGAGCAAGAAUGGAAAAAUAUCCCACCCUGGCAAGAAUUCUUGUAAAAUAGGGCUACAGCACUUAAACAAGGCUCUGCAGGGAAACCUGUACUGCUGCUACUCGUCCUAGGUGUGCCAGAGGAAGAGCAGAUUUCUCUUACUAGGACUGAACAAAUACAUAAGCUGAGUUUUAGUGGAGGAAGUGCUCUGCACCAGUAGAGUGAGAACAUCGAAACAAAGGGAGAAUUAAACAGCAGAACACAGUGGUACAGGUGGAUCUUACACAGUGUGGCACAUACAGUGCUUCAGGGAUAUUUAUUUCAUAACAAGUUCUUUGCUGUUAACCCUCUGGAGACAAUUUACGCUUCUCUGGCAGUUGGAUGAAUAAGCAAACCUGAGUUUUCCCACCUGCUUUAUAGUUACAAUACAUCAAACUUUAAACUGCAAAUUGGCAAGUAUUGUUCCUACCCUCAUUCUGUCAGCUAGAAUUCCAUAUUGAGAUUAUUUGUGUACCACUUAUUUUUUUUAAUGUAGUAGGAAAAAGUUUAUUAAGAGCUGUAUCUACAGUAGAACUCUAAAGUUCUUUCCCGGUAAGUUAUUAGUAUCCUAUUUAUUCCUAUAAGAUUUUUUUUCCCUAUGGUAUAGAGUGUGGCACAAGCAGUUCAAACUUCCAGAUGAUUGCCCAAAUAGUAAAGAAGAAAAGAAAACGCACACAAUAUUCCUUGUGUGCUGUUGAACUAGGAUUUGUGGCAGGGACAACACAGAUACGAGUAGCUGCUGUUGUUACCCUGAUGUUGGAUACUGCAGUUCUUUCCACAUUGGUUUUGUAUUUUUCCAGCUGAAGGAAAAAAGUCUUUUAAAGUUACUGCAUAUUUUGUCAACUCUUUCAUUUUGACUCAGACCGUAUGAAGCACAUACAUAAAAGAAGUCUACAGAGAGAUAACUACACUAGUUUUCAGUGACAAGGUUUAUCUGUAUUUUAACAGUUAAACCCACUAUGUUAAUAAAACAAGACUUCUGAACAAUAAUCCUGCUCAGUUUCAGUAUUUUCCCCAUCCCUCGUAUUUUAGAAGAACACAAAUAGAUAAGCAUUGUAAAGUACAGCUCCAUCUUGAAUGAAGUAGGCAACUAAUUCCCAGCUUAUAAACAAAUCUAGCAGUUCCCUACAUGGCUGCAUAGCAAGAUUACGACUUAGUUACAAGGAGAUACUGCAGCUGCUUCUCCCAAAAUUUUUGUUAAUUUCUGGGGGAAAAAUCGCUUCUCAUGCCAGAAAAUGUCUAAAUUUUACAUGUAAUUAAAAAAUUUCUACCAGGCUUUAUCGUUGGAGAGCAGGAAGGGCAGUAACAUGUCCCUCAGAUACAGCUCGUACACCCUCAGGCAAGUUCACGGUCCCAGGCGAGCAGCCUCCGUUCCACUCUGCCUGCAGGAUUCCAAAAUCCCAAUUGUGAUCAUUGCUACAUAGGAUAAAGGGAAGAAUGUGAUGGAUACUUCUAUUUUCCAAGGCUUGACAUGGAGCAGCAUCUCUGGGGGGAAAGAGGAGUUAAUCUUUGCAAGAGCUACUGAAAACAAUUUAAGUGUUGUGUGUUGUGUUGCUGACUGGUUAAAACUGAGGAGUGUUCAGACAAACAGCGUUUAACCUCUGCAGAUCCAUGGAUCUGUCUGACCCUGUCACACUUAUCAGUUUAAGAGUGUUGAAUUAUAAAUGAGAUGCCUGAUGUAAAACAAAAGAGUCUCAGAAUACUCCAGUAUGUUGACCCAGUUUCUGACUGCCAAGUCAGAAAGAGUGUACAGCUACUACUCUGGGAUCUUCCACUUCCCAACUCCAAACACACGAGACUACAGGAUUACCUCAUGAAGCUCUGCCUGUGAGACUUGUGCUGUAUGAUGUAUUUAAACUUCAUUAUGUGUUUGGAGAUAAGCUGUUAGGAAUGAGAACAGAACAAUUGUAUUUCACUUUCCUAAGUGAAAUUCAACUCUAUUAAAUAAGAAGUAAUACUCUAGGUGAGAUAUUUUUGAAAGGAAUUUGUUCUACAAAGUUUAGAUAGUAUUUCUGUACCAAACAUUUAAUUCAACAAAGGAUUGGUUACAUCAAAAGUGAUCGAAUUUGAACAGAAAGUAAACAAAAAUGCAUAUUCAAGAUAGUUUAAUAUGUAUUUUCUGAAUUAGAAAUAUCACUUUCUUAAAUGAAUGAGAAUCUCUAGUGUAAUGAUCCGUUACUCCCCUCCC